This 72-nucleotide transfer RNA is filed under the name Heterocephalus glaber (naked mole-rat). It matches the Rfam family "tRNA". From Rfam's summary of the family: Transfer RNA (tRNA) molecules are approximately 80 nucleotides in length. Their secondary structure includes four short double-helical elements and three loops (D, anti-codon, and T loops). The record is from Rfam by way of RNAcentral. Lineage: Eukaryota; Metazoa; Chordata; Mammalia; Rodentia; Bathyergidae.
AGGGGUAUGGCUCAGUGGUGGAGCUCCUGCUUAGCAUGCAGGAGGCCCUGGAUUCUAUUCCCAGCACAACAA